GCUCUCGUGGCUCAGUUGGUUAGUGCGUCGUACUUAUAAUGCGAAGGUCGAGGGUUCGAUCCCCUCCGGGAGCA
This 74-nucleotide transfer RNA is filed under the name Dendronephthya gigantea. RNAcentral describes it as "tRNA-Ile". It matches the Rfam family "tRNA". From Rfam's summary of the family: Transfer RNA (tRNA) molecules are approximately 80 nucleotides in length. Their secondary structure includes four short double-helical elements and three loops (D, anti-codon, and T loops). Further hydrogen bonds mediate the characteristic L-shaped molecular structure. tRNAs have two regions of fundamental functional importance: the anti-codon, which is responsible for specific mRNA codon recognition, and the 3' end, to which the tRNAs corresponding amino acid is attached (by aminoacyl-tRNA synthetases). tRNAs cope with the degeneracy of the genetic code in two manners: having more than one tRNA (with a specific anti-codon) for a particular amino acid; and 'wobble' base-pairing, i.e. permitting non-standard base-pairing at the 3rd anti-codon position. The record is from RNAcentral. Lineage: Eukaryota; Metazoa; Cnidaria; Anthozoa; Malacalcyonacea; Nephtheidae.